RNAcentral lists this ribosomal RNA (489 nucleotides) under uncultured bacterium. Its description in RNAcentral is "bacterial SSU rRNA". It matches the Rfam family "Bacterial small subunit ribosomal RNA", at positions 29 to 526 of the family's 1533-position model. The record is from RNAcentral.
AAUGAAUGUUGGCGGCGUGGAUUAGGCAUGCAAGUCGCGCGAACAAGGGGGCUUGCCCCUGAAGUGAGCGGCGAAAGGGAGAGUAAUGUAUGGAUUAUCUGCCCUCAGGAUCGGGAUAGCUACGGGAAACUGUAGGUAAUACCGAAUAACAUCUCCGGAUCAAAGGUGUGAUUCCGCCUGAGGAUGAGUCCAUAUCCUAUUAGCUUGUUGGUAAGGUAACGGCUUACCAAGGCAUUGAUGGGUACCGGGCGUGAGAGCGUGACCCGGCUCACUGGGACUGAGACACUGCCCAGACACCUACGGGUGGCUGCAGUCGAGAAUCUUCGGCAAUGGACGAAAGUCUGACCGAGCGACGCCGCGUGUAUGAAGAAGGUCUUCGGAUUGUAAAGUACUUUCGUUUGGGAGGAAAUGUACGGGGGUUCUCCCCUGUGCUUGACCUAUCUUAGGAAGAAGGACGGGCUAAGUUCGUGCCAGCCGCCGCGGUAAAAC